RNAcentral lists this ribosomal RNA (253 nucleotides) under uncultured bacterium. Its description in RNAcentral is "partial 16S ribosomal RNA". It matches the Rfam family "Bacterial small subunit ribosomal RNA", at positions 524 to 776 of the family's 1533-position model. The record is from RNAcentral.
UACGUAGGGUGCAAGCGUUACUCGGAAUUACUGGGCGUAAAGCGUGCGCAGGCGGUUAUGUAAGACAGGUGUGAAAUCCCCGGGCUUAACCUGGGAACUGCAUUUGUGACUGCAUAGCUAGAGUACGGUAGAGGGGGAUGGAAUUCCGCGUGUAGCAGUGAAAUGCGUAGAUAUGCGGAGGAACACCGAUGGCGAAGGCAAUCCCCUGGACCUGUACUGACGCUCAUGCACGAAAGCAUGGGGAGCAAACAGG